UGGGAUGGAGCUCAGUGGUAGAGUACUAUGCCCAACAUGCACAAGGCCAUAGGUUUGAUCCCUGGCACCCAAA
This 73-nucleotide transfer RNA is filed under the name Mus musculus (house mouse). RNAcentral's name for it is "tRNA-Val". Lineage: Eukaryota; Metazoa; Chordata; Mammalia; Rodentia; Muridae. The record is from RNAcentral.